UAUCAAUAUCGUCAUCGUGUGCAAGUGCGUUAGACUAGCCAGAGACGUGCAACCAAGAUGUCAAGCAAGUUGUUGGUUGGCGCGAGAUUCCACGUAUUUAGACAAGUUGCGAUUUCCCCAAUCUGAUCGACUAACCACCACUUGUUCACAGACACGCAAUCUCGCUGCAAUCGGAACCUGCCGACAAACGUGCAAUCUCCUUGCAACCAACAACUUACUUGACAACUUCUUGCUUGCACGUACGUGGCUAGCCCGCUCAACACGUUUGCCGCUUGCCGCAACCCAGGGAGAACCAAAGGCUGAGCUUCCUUAAAGAUCCAUUUAGGAUUAAUUGCAAUUGAUCUUAGGAAUCUGUGAGCGAAUGAUGUUUCAAAAGUGUUUAUAGAAAGGGCAAUGAACGGGGGCAGUGUGUCGACGAGAUUCGAAGCAAGCAGAUAUGGAGCUUUGGUUUUUGAAAUGACAACGAUCAAAUGGCUCAAAAUUGCAAGUUUUCCCUUUCUCCAUUGCUCGUUCUCCCUGGUUGUUUUCCGAGUAUAAUUUUCAUUGAAGACACGGAACACGAAACGAUAUAUACCCAAGGUGUCUUCUGGUACAUUCAGGUUCAUUACUUGAAAAUCGGGUAUCCGGCAAGGAAUCAGCUGAUGAAACGACAUCCAGGAUACAUAAUAAAGUUUUCGUCAAACGUAAUAAAUCAUUAAAACUGUAGAAUCCGAAGUAGAUCAGGU
Long non-coding RNA from Hermetia illucens (black soldier fly), 725 nucleotides. RefSeq lists it as uncharacterized. The record is from RefSeq and is a predicted model, not a curated record. Lineage: Eukaryota; Metazoa; Arthropoda; Insecta; Diptera; Stratiomyidae. The transcript is spliced from 3 exons.